UCCCUGAUAGCUCAGCGGUAGAGCAAUCGACUGUUAAUCGAUUGGUCGCAGGUUCGAAUCCUGCUCAGGGAG
Molecule: non-coding RNA, 72 nt
Organism: Alphaproteobacteria bacterium
Lineage: Bacteria; Pseudomonadati; Pseudomonadota; Alphaproteobacteria
Source: Rfam